AGGCGCGAAACCUUUACACUGCACGCACGUGCGAUAAGGGGACUCCGAGUGCGAGGGCAUAUCGUCCUCGCUUUCGUGUACCGUAGGGUGGUACACCAACAAGGGCUGGGCAAGACCGGUGCCAGCCGCCGCGGUAAUACCGGCAGCCCGAGUGAUGACCGAUCUUAUUGGGCCUAAAGCGUCCGUAGCUGGCUGCGCAAGUCCGUCGGGAAAUCCACUCGCCCAACGAGUGGGCGUCCGACGGAAACUGCACAGCUUGGGACCGGAAGGCUCGAAGGGUACGUGCGGGGUAGGAGUGAAAUCCCAUAAUCCCGCACGGACCACCGAUGGCGAAAGCACUUCGAGAAAACGGAUCCGACAGUGAGGGACGAAAGCCAGGGUCUCCAACCGGAUUAGAUACCCGGGUAGUCCUGGCCGUAAACAAUGUUCGCUAGGUAUGACACAGACUACGUGUCUCUGUUGUGCCGUAGGAAGCCGAGAAGCGACCG
This 488-nucleotide ribosomal RNA is filed under the name uncultured archaeon. RNAcentral describes it as "bacterial SSU rRNA". It matches the Rfam family "Archaeal small subunit ribosomal RNA", at positions 337 to 826 of the family's 1478-position model. The record is from RNAcentral.